GCCAUUUCUAUGCGGCACUGGAACAAGUUCCCUCUGCACAAAGUGACUGCAGAACACAAGCUAUAGUACAACGAACUCUACCAGCUUUACCCUUAACUCUCGCGAGAACUAACAUGUGGAGAAGCCCAAGGAAAGGCAAACGCAGUGACAGCUCUUGUGGAAUAUUAGUUUAAGCUCCAGCUUUCAACUUCAUUGUGUAUACUGUGCAUGUUCUUCAUCAAAAGCUCUUGCACACUAAGAAGCUUUCAGAGUAGUAAAAAAUGCCUCAGCGAUGGGAAUUUCAAAUCAAGUUCGAGGGUUCUACUGGAACAGGAAACUGUGAAGUUGCGCAGAAGCAUGGACAUCCCCCAUUCUGAAAUUCCUGGCACUCCUCACAAGAAGGUUUCUUGUUGUACAGACGUGGGGAACAUCAGAAACAACCAAACCACUGCAGUUCUGAUUUAACCUUUAAACCUGCUUCCCAAAUUACUUCCGGUAGCUUUUGAUCCCUGAAACAAUGUAAGCCCCCACUCUGCUAAAUGACCAAGGACUUCAUGCACUAAUCCUUGACCUUCUUUAUAGAUCUGUCAAUAAAGCA
Non-coding RNA from Peromyscus maniculatus bairdii (prairie deer mouse), 577 nucleotides. NCBI's taxonomy places the organism in Eukaryota, Metazoa, Chordata, Mammalia, Rodentia, Cricetidae. The record is from RefSeq and is a predicted model, not a curated record.